UGCUUUGGUGGACUAGUGGCUAGCAUGCAGCGCUCUCACCGCCGCGGCCCGGGUUCGAGUCACUGUCAGUAA
Molecule: non-coding RNA, 72 nt
Organism: Pangasius djambal
Lineage: Eukaryota; Metazoa; Chordata; Actinopteri; Siluriformes; Pangasiidae
Source: the annotation of a GenBank genome assembly